Molecule: ribosomal RNA, 1373 nt
Filed under: uncultured bacterium
Lineage: Bacteria
Description: bacterial SSU rRNA
Rfam family: Bacterial small subunit ribosomal RNA
Source: RNAcentral
GAUGAACGCUGGCGGCGUGCCUAAUACAUGCAAGUCGAGCGAACGGACGAGAAGCUUGCUUCUCUGAUGUUAGCGGCGGACGGGUGAGUAACACGUGGAUAACCUACCUAUAAGACUGGGAUAACUUCGGGAAACCGGAGCUAAUACCGGAUAAUAUUUUGAACCGCAUGGUUCAAAAGUGAAAGACGGUCUUGCUGUCACUUAUAGAUGGAUCCGCGCUGCAUUAGCUAGUUGGUAAGGUAACGGCUUACCAAGGCAACGAUGCAUAGCCGACCUGAGAGGGUGAUCGGCCACACUGGAACUGAGACACGGUCCAGACUCCUACGGGAGGCAGCAGUAGGGAAUCUUCCGCAAUGGGCGAAAGCCUGACGGAGCAACGCCGCGUGAGUGAUGAAGGUCUUCGGAUCGUAAAACUCUGUUAUUAGGGAAGAACAUAUGUGUAAGUAACUGUGCACAUCUUGACGGUACCUAAUCAGAAAGCCACGGCUAACUACGUGCCAGCAGCCGCGGUAAUACGUAGGUGGCAAGCGUUAUCCGGAAUUAUUGGGCGUAAAGCGCGCGUAGGCGGUUUUUUAAGUCUGAUGUGAAAGCCCCACGGCUCAACCGUGGAGGGUCAUUGGAAACUGGAAAACUUGAGUGCAGAAGAGGAAAGUGGAAUUCCAUGUGUAGCGGUGAAAUGCGCAGAGAUAUGGAGGAACACCAGUGGCGAAGGCGACUUUCUGGUCUGUAACUGACGCUGAUGUGCGAAAGCGUGGGGAUCAAACAGGAUUAGAUACCCUGGUAGUCCACGCUGUAAACGAUGAGUGCUAAGUGUUAGGGGGUUUCCGCCCCUUAGUGCUGCAGCUAACGCAUUAAGCACUCCGCCUGGGGAGUACGACCGCAAGGUUGAAACUCAAAGGAAUUGACGGGGACCCGCACAAGCGGUGGAGCAUGUGGUUUAAUUCGAAGCAACGCGAAGAACCUUACCAAAUCUUGACAUCCUUUGACAACUCUAGAGAUAGAGCUUUCCCCUUCGGGGGACAAAGUGACAGGUGGUGCAUGGUUGUCGUCAGCUCGUGUCGUGAGAUGUUGGGUUAAGUCCCGCAACGAGCGCAACCCUUAAGCUUAGUUGCCAUCAUUAAGUUGGGCACUCUAAGUUGACUGCCGGUGACAAACCGGAGGAAGGUGGGGAUGACGUCAAAUCAUCAUGCCCCUUAUGGUUUGGGCUACACACGUGCUACAAUGGACAAUACAAAGGGCAGCGAAACCGCGAGGUCAAGCAAAUCCCAUAAAGUUGUUCUCAGUUCGGAUUGUAGUCUGCAACUCGACUACAUGAAGCUGGAAUCGCUAGUAAUCGUAGAUCAGCAUGCUACGGUGAAUACGUUCCCGGGUCU